GACGAACGCUGGCGGCGUGCUUAACACAUGCAAGUCGAACGGAAAGGCCUGCAUUCCCUUGUGGUUUGCGGGUACUCGCGUGGCGAACGGGUGCGUAACACGUGAGUGAUCUGCCCCCAACUUGGGUAUAAGCCUGGGAAACUGGGUCUAAUUCCCGAUAGGACUGCAGGGUGGUGUCUGGGGUGGAAAAUGAUUUUCUAGUGGUAGGGGAUGAGCUCGCGGCCUAUCAGCUUGUUGGUGGGGUAAUGGCCUACCAAGGCGGCGACGGGUAGCCGGCCUGAGAGGGUUGACGUCCACACGGAGACAGGGCGACGACUCCGACUCUGGCGAGAGGUAGCAGUGGGGCCUAAAGGAUGAUGGGCGCGAUCGUGAUGCGGCGAGGCCGGGUGGGGGGUAGCGGCUGUCGGGAUGUGAACUAUUUUAGAACGCGAGGAAGCAACCUGAUUGUAAGGGUAGUGACGGUAGUGGCAGAGAAAGCACCGGCUAACUACGUG
RNAcentral lists this ribosomal RNA (494 nucleotides) under uncultured bacterium. RNAcentral describes it as "partial 16S ribosomal RNA". It matches the Rfam family "Bacterial small subunit ribosomal RNA", at positions 28 to 507 of the family's 1533-position model. The record is from RNAcentral.